UACGUAGGGUGCAAGCGUUGUCCGGAAUCAUUGGGCGUAAAGCGCGCGUAGGUGGCUUCGUAAGUCCGUUGUGAAAGUCAAAGGCUCAACCUUUGAAAGCCGAUGGAUACUGCGGAGCUAGAGUACGGAAGAGGCGAGUGGAAUUCCUGGUGUAGCGGUGGAAUGCGCAGAUAUCAGGAGGAACACCGGUGGCGAAGGCGGGUCUCUGGGCCGAUACUGACGCUGAGGAGCGAAAGCGUGGGGAGCGAACAGG
Molecule: ribosomal RNA, 253 nt
Filed under: uncultured bacterium
Lineage: Bacteria
Description: partial 16S ribosomal RNA
Rfam family: Bacterial small subunit ribosomal RNA
Source: RNAcentral